GUCACCAGGCACCACAGUCUCACCAAGGGUGCCUAAAAGUUACUUGGCUGGAGAGAGUCAGCAUCAAAAUAUUGUGAUGAUUUCCCAGACAUCCAGGCCACAGACUCAGGAAGCCGCACAGGGAAAGCAAUUGGGAGGUCUGCCUGUGCCCCCCUGAUUGGAGCCACUGUGGAAAACUCAGAGUUUGAUCACAGCUUAAUCCUAAAACCCUCCAGAUGAGUCAUGGGUGAGACCCCAAUUCCACAUCUCCCCACUCUACCCUCACAGGUUGGAAAUCAGGCAGCCCAGAGCCUGGCAGAGGUCUGCACAAUGAGGACAGCACAGGCAGGCAAGCCACAUGCCCUGAUGGAGCCCCCAGAGCAGACCUCCCUGGACAGCUGCCCCAUCAGUGGGCCCUCCUUCGUGGAUCCCAAAGGGGCCUGCAUUUUUUCCCCACAGGAGGGCAUGGUGGGAAGGAGCACCUCCAUUCCAAGCUGAAGUCCCAGCGGCAGAGCCUGUGCCAACUGCACCUGCAGGUGCUUCCUCAGCUCUGGCACCACAGCCAGAGCCAGAACCAGGAUUCCCUUGUCCUUUAACUGCACUUCUGGGGCUCCUGGUGGCUUCUCAGAGGUUGUCAGCUCCUGAGAUUCCCCUGGGGCCAGCUCCUGCCCCACACCUGCCAUUCCCCUCUAUUACUGCUGCUCAUGUUUUAUUCUUUACUUUUGUGCUUAUAUUCUG
This 717-nucleotide long non-coding RNA is filed under the name Heterocephalus glaber (naked mole-rat). RNAcentral describes it as "lncRNA (ENSHGLG00000028609.2)". The record is from RNAcentral. Lineage: Eukaryota; Metazoa; Chordata; Mammalia; Rodentia; Bathyergidae.